RNAcentral lists this ribosomal RNA (254 nucleotides) under uncultured bacterium. RNAcentral describes it as "partial 16S ribosomal RNA". It matches the Rfam family "Bacterial small subunit ribosomal RNA", at positions 524 to 776 of the family's 1533-position model. The record is from RNAcentral.
UACGAAGGGUGCAAGCGUUACUCGGAAUUACUGGGCGUAAAGCGUGCGUAGGUGGUUUGUUAAGUCUGUUGUGAAAGCCCCGGGCUCAACCUGGGAAUGGCAAUGGAUACUGGCAAGCUAGAGUGCGGUAGAGGGUAGUGGAAUUCCCGGUGUAGCGGUGAAAUGCGUAGAGAUCGGGAGGAACACCGGGUGGUGUAAACGGCUUUCUGGACCAUAACUGACGCUGAGGCACGAAAGCGUGGGUAGCAAACAGG